Gossypium arboreum is the source of this 839-nucleotide long non-coding RNA. RefSeq lists it as uncharacterized. The transcript is spliced from 2 exons. Lineage: Eukaryota; Viridiplantae; Streptophyta; Magnoliopsida; Malvales; Malvaceae. The record is from RefSeq and is a predicted model, not a curated record.
UGCACAAACAUGUGAGGACUAGUAUUGAAAAUAUCCCAUGCUCAUAAUGCAGCAAUGAACCGCGGAUCCAAUUGAAACCAUACACAAACUAACAAGCCAAUUUUAAAACAUAAAGUAGGCAAAUCAGGCGAAAAUUGAGGGCUGUGCGCAAGGGGAGGGAUUUGUCGACAAAUUUCCCCAUUCACACCAACCAUGCGCAUACCCGGCCUGCCAAAACGGGUUGACGCGCGGGUCUUUACACCAUUAAACAGCGCCGCAUUGUUAAUUGGUCAUUUAAGACCUAUCCACUUCUAUUUCAUUCCUCAAACGCAGCCUCCACUUAGAUCAAAAGAAAUUUCAGCCUUUAAAAUCAAUUCUUUAGGGUUUCUUUCACUUCACUGCCAAACUACCAUGAUUUUGGGUGAUUACCAGUAAGCGAGAUGUGCCCAAUCUUGCUGUUAAAGGAGCUCGACCAGAUCUAAAAGGAUUCGGUAUGGAGAAACGGUCGUACGGAGAAAGCCACUCGUGAAAGCCGUGCGUGAGUUCGAUUGCAGCACUGGUGUGUUCUAGAAACCCUUAGGUUUCUGGCAUUUUCAAGCAGUUGGGCCUUUUGGGCCAUUCGUGUAUAGUUUGGGUGUCUACUCAAUUGGGUCAAAAAUGUUGUUGGGCUAAGGAACUUUGGGUACUUGUUUAGGCUAUUAUUUUUAUUUGGGCUAAAUUUAAGAUACGGGUUUAUUAGAAUUGGGUUUUGGGUCAUGGGUUAUUUUGGUAAUUUUUGUAUUUUGAAAAUUGUAAAUGGACUUUUUUAGUCUUGGACCUUAUUCAUUUAUUUGGGUUUAUUUAUUUGCAAAUAAAAUAAA